Molecule: ribosomal RNA, 465 nt
Filed under: uncultured bacterium
Lineage: Bacteria
Description: partial 16S ribosomal RNA
Rfam family: Bacterial small subunit ribosomal RNA
Source: RNAcentral
CUACGGGGCGCAGCAGUGAGGAAUUUUGCGCAAUGGGCGAAAGCCUGACGCAGCAACGCCGCGUGAGUGAUGAAGGCCUUCGGGUCGUAAAGCUCUGUCAAGUGGGAAGAACCUAUGUAAUGUUAAUAUCAUUAUAUACUGACGGUACCACUGAAGGAAGCACCGGCUAGCUCCGUGCCAGCAGCCGCGGUAAUACGGGGGGUGCAAGCGUUAUUCGGAAUCAUUGGGCGUAAAGGGCACGUAGGCGGCCUGGUAAGUCAGAUGUGAAAGCCCGGGGCUUAGCCCCGGAAGUGCAUUUGAUACUGUCAAGCUUGAGUAUGGGAGAGGGAAGUGGAAUUCCUGGUGUAGAGGUGAAAUUCGUAGAUAUCAGGAGGAACACCGGUGGCGAAGGCGACUUCCUGGACCAAUACUGACGCUGAGGUGCGAAGGCGUGGGUAGCAAACAGGAUUAGAUACCCUCGUAGUC